CUUGCGAACUGCGAACUUGUGUGACUCCCGGUUCAUCCUCUUUGUUCGGGUCAUUGGGUUGGUGUUGGAGUUGGUCACCAUAUUCUGAACGUUUCACCUAUCGUUGCGGUGUACUGUUCUUGAUCUGCUGCGAAGCGAUGAACCGCAACGGCAGUCACUCGCCUCAUUGAACUUCUGUCUGCUGCAUCUCAAAGGAGCAUGGGGACCUGAUGAUACCUUCAACUAAAGAAACCAAAUGUGCUCUCGUGUGGUCCUGACGGAAAAGUAGUAUCAACAAGAACCCUCCACUUUUUCGACCAAGUUAUCGUUAUGAGAUCCUUCUGAUGGCCUUCUGAGGCUAUGCCGCUCCGAAGCAUUGAGAUGACGAAGCGUCGUGGUAGCUGCACCUCUGCCUUCGAAAGAUGAAUCAGUCAUUCCACACUGUGCUUACUGGCUUUGUGUAGAGUCUGGCAAAUCCGACAGACUUGGACUGCCUUUUUCAAGAAAGUUUGAAAUAGCAUCCCUUAUGCACCUGCAUUUCAAUUCCAAUCUGUAUUACAAGAAUGACACCACUCAACAGAGAUGAACAUCUGAAAGUGAAAGAGCUGGAAUGAAGAUACGUUAAUCUGUGUCAAAGGUUCUUAGUAUGUGUGCGAGUCGAGGACAUAGGUCUCAAGCUUAUUCCUGUCUUCAGAAGAGGUGACAACUAUGCUCCUUCUAUCUAUUAACCAGCUCCACUUUUUAGGGUUCCCUGUAAACUAAUGGAGCACAUCAUGUACUACCACGUUGUCAACUAAGUUGACUCUGUCAAUUUCUUUUUUUAAAUUCCAGCAUGGCUUUAGAAAAGGGUAUUCAGGCAAAACUAACGUAGUGGAAUUCGUUCACAGCAUUUCAAACUGUCUUGAUUUCUGGGUCCAUGUAGAUGUAGUAUUCUUUUUAUUUUGUAAGGGCUUUUGACACUGUGCUCUACGCUCGCGUGUUGGCCAAAGUAGCCUAAUUAAAAUUUGAUCCUGCUACCUGGAUAUGCAGUUUCUCAACUAACCGUAACUGUGGCGACAACUCGUGAGGAGAACCUAUCAUAUCGCCACCAUGCAGCAUUUGUUAUAUUACAAUCGCUUCACAUUUUAAUCUAGUCAAAAGCAAGGCCUUUUGGUGAUCGGUCUUGUAUAAUACGUGCCCCUCCGUUAUGUAACACCACACU
Long non-coding RNA from Ornithodoros turicata, 1180 nucleotides. RefSeq lists it as uncharacterized. NCBI's taxonomy places the organism in Eukaryota, Metazoa, Arthropoda, Arachnida, Ixodida, Argasidae. The transcript has 3 exons. The record is from RefSeq and is a predicted model, not a curated record.